GGCGAGGUGGCGGAGCGGCCAAACGCGACUGCCUUGAAAACAGUUGUCCGGGCAACCGGACCAAGGGUUCGAAUCCCUUUCUCGCCG
This 87-nucleotide transfer RNA is filed under the name Pseudarthrobacter chlorophenolicus. RNAcentral's name for it is "tRNA_Ser_TGA". It matches the Rfam family "tRNA". Rfam says of the family: Transfer RNA (tRNA) molecules are approximately 80 nucleotides in length. Their secondary structure includes four short double-helical elements and three loops (D, anti-codon, and T loops). Further hydrogen bonds mediate the characteristic L-shaped molecular structure. tRNAs have two regions of fundamental functional importance: the anti-codon, which is responsible for specific mRNA codon recognition, and the 3' end, to which the tRNAs corresponding amino acid is attached (by aminoacyl-tRNA synthetases). tRNAs cope with the degeneracy of the genetic code in two manners: having more than one tRNA (with a specific anti-codon) for a particular amino acid; and 'wobble' base-pairing, i.e. permitting non-standard base-pairing at the 3rd anti-codon position. Lineage: Bacteria; Bacillati; Actinomycetota; Actinomycetes; Micrococcales; Micrococcaceae. RNAcentral also lists the same sequence under 1 other name. The record is from RNAcentral.